This 213-nucleotide long non-coding RNA is filed under the name Eucalyptus grandis. RNAcentral describes it as "long non-coding RNA (EGRA_LNC005584)". Lineage: Eukaryota; Viridiplantae; Streptophyta; Magnoliopsida; Myrtales; Myrtaceae. The record is from RNAcentral.
GUAGCUUGUUUACCUUCAUGGGAUCAGAAAUUGGUUGACCUUGAUUUUCAAGACCAUUCACGAUUUCUGUAAAACGACUAAACAUAUCAGUUAUAGAUUCUCCUGAUUUCAUUUUGAAGGCUUCAUAUUGACUGAGGAGAAUGUUGAUUCUAGUCUCUUUCACUCGAUCGGUUCCUUCAUAGGUAAUAUGUAAUCUAUCUCAGACUUCUUUAG